This 479-nucleotide ribosomal RNA is filed under the name uncultured bacterium. RNAcentral describes it as "partial 16S ribosomal RNA". It matches the Rfam family "Bacterial small subunit ribosomal RNA", at positions 28 to 507 of the family's 1533-position model. The record is from RNAcentral.
GAUGAACGCUAGCGGGAGGCCUAACACAUGCAAGCCGAGCGGUAGAGUUUCUUCGGAAACUUGAGAGCGGCGCACGGGUGCGUAACACGUGUGCAACCUACCUUUAUCUGGGGGAUAGCCUUUCGAAAGGAAGAUUAAUACCCCAUAAUAUAAUGAUUGGCAUCAAUUAUUAUUGAAAACUCCGGUGGAUAGAGAUGGGCACGCGCAAGAUUAGAUAGUUGGUGAGGUAACGGCUCACCAAGUCAAUGAUCUUUAGGGGUCCUGAGAGGGAGAUCCCCCACACUGGUACUGAGACACGGACCAGACUCCUACGGGAGGCAGCAGUGAGGAAUAUUGGACAAUGGGUGAGAGCCUGAUCCAGCCAUCCCGCGUGAAGGAUGACGGUCCUAUGGAUUGUAAACUUCUUUUGUACAGGGAUAAACCUACCCUCGUGAGAGUAGCUGAAGGUACUGUACGAAUAAGCACCGGCUAACUCCGUG